RNAcentral lists this ribosomal RNA (467 nucleotides) under uncultured bacterium. RNAcentral's name for it is "partial 16S ribosomal RNA". It matches the Rfam family "Bacterial small subunit ribosomal RNA", at positions 28 to 506 of the family's 1533-position model. The record is from RNAcentral.
GACGAACGCUGGCGGCGUGCUUAACACAUGCAAGUCGAACGGAAAGGCCCUGCUUUUGUGGGGUGCUCGAGUGGCGAACGGGUGAGUAACACGUGAGUAACCUGCCCUUGACUUUGGGAUAACUUCAGGAAACUGGGGCUAAUACCGGAUAGGAGCUCCUGCUGCAUGGUGGGGGUUGGAAAGUUUCGGCGGUUGGGGAUGGACUCGCGGCUUAUCAGCUUGUUGGUGGGGUAGUGGCUUACCAAGGCUUUGACGGGUAGCCGGCCUGAGAGGGUGACCGGCCACAUUGGGACGGAGAGACGGCCCAGACGCAGACGGGAGGGAGGAGGGGGGAAUAUUGCACAAUGGGCGGAAGCCUGAUGCAGCAACGCCGCGUGCGGGAUGACGGCCUUCGGGUGGUAAACCGAUUUCGCCUGUGACGAAGCGUGAGUGACGGUAAUGGGUAAAGAAGCACCGGCUAACUACGU